Molecule: ribosomal RNA, 465 nt
Filed under: Vreelandella stevensii
Lineage: Bacteria; Pseudomonadati; Pseudomonadota; Gammaproteobacteria; Oceanospirillales; Halomonadaceae
Description: partial 16S ribosomal RNA
Rfam family: Bacterial small subunit ribosomal RNA
Source: RNAcentral
CCUACGGGUGGCUGCAGUGGGGAAUAUUGGACAAUGGGCGAAAGCCUGAUCCAGCCAUGCCGCGUGUGUGAAGAAGGCCUUCGGGUUGUGAAGCACUUUCAGUGGGGAAGAAAGCCUUGGGGCUAAUACCCUCGAGGAAGGACAUCACCCACAGAAGAAGCACCGGCUAACUCCGUGCCAGCAGCCGCGGUAAUACGGAGGGUGCGAGCGUUAAUCGGAAUUACUGGGCGUAAAGCGCGCGUAGGCGGUCUGAUAAGCCGGUUGUGAAAGCCCCGGGCUCAACCUGGGAACGGCAUCCGGAACUGUCAGGCUAGAGUGCAGGAGAGGAAGGUAGAAUUCCCGGUGUAGCGGUGAAAUGCGUAGAGAUCGGGAGGAAUACCAGUGGCGAAGGCGGCCUUCUGGACUGACACUGACGCUGAGGUGCGAAAGCGUGGGUAGCAAACAGGAUUAGAUACCCCGGUAGUC